GAUGAACGCUGGCGGCGUGCCUAAUACAUGCAAGUCGAGCGAACAGAUAAGGAGCUUGCUCCUUUGACGUUAGCGGCGGACGGGUGAGUAACACGUGGGUAACCUACCUAUAAGACUGGGAUAACUUCGGGAAACCGGAGCUAAUACCGGAUAACAUUUGGAACCGCAUGGUUCUAAAGUGAAAGAUGGUUUUGCUAUCACUUAUAGAUGGACCCGCGCCGUAUUAGCUAGUUGGUAAGGUAACGGCUUACCAAGGCGACGAUACGUAGCCGACCUGAGAGGGUGAUCGGCCACACUGGAACUGAGACACGGUCCAGACUCCUACGGGGGGCAGCAGUAGGGAAUCUUCCGCAAUGGGCGAAAGCCUGACGGAGCAACGCCGCGUGAGUGAUGAAGGGUUUCGGCUCGUAAAACUCUGUUAUUAGGGAAGAACAAACGUGUAAGUAACUGUGCACGUCUUGACGGUACCUAAUCAGAAAGCCACGGCUAACUACGUG
This 497-nucleotide ribosomal RNA is filed under the name uncultured bacterium. RNAcentral's name for it is "partial 16S ribosomal RNA". It matches the Rfam family "Bacterial small subunit ribosomal RNA", at positions 28 to 507 of the family's 1533-position model. The record is from RNAcentral.